Molecule: ribosomal RNA, 254 nt
Filed under: uncultured bacterium
Lineage: Bacteria
Description: partial 16S ribosomal RNA
Rfam family: Bacterial small subunit ribosomal RNA
Source: RNAcentral
UACGUAGGGUGCGAGCGUUGUCCGGAAUUAUUGGGCGUAAAGAGCUCGUAGGCGGUGUGUCGCGUCGGCCGUGAAAACCUGGGGCUUAACUCCGGGCGUGCGGUCGAUACGGGCAUCACUAGAGUUCGGCAGGGGAGACUGGAAUUCCUGGUGUAGCGGUGAAAUGCGCAGAUAUCAGGAGGAACACCGGUGGCGAAGGCGGGUCUCUGGGCCGAUACUGACGCUGAGGAGCGAAAGCAUGGGUAGCGAACAGG